AGGGGAAUAGUUCAGUGGUAGAGUGCAUGCUUAGCAUGCCUGAGGUCCUGGGUUCAAACCCCAGUACCUCUG
RNAcentral lists this transfer RNA (72 nucleotides) under Camelus ferus (Wild Bactrian camel). It matches the Rfam family "tRNA". From Rfam's summary of the family: Transfer RNA (tRNA) molecules are approximately 80 nucleotides in length. The record is from Rfam by way of RNAcentral. Lineage: Eukaryota; Metazoa; Chordata; Mammalia; Artiodactyla; Camelidae.